AUUUCUAUCAGGAGCAGUUAAUUUUUAUAAAAUAAUCUUAUCUUAAAUAUUUUCUUCUUUUCAAGGUAUCAUAGACGUCGUAGGAAGCCAAAUCCUCCAAAAGACAGAUGAUACUGAGAUUUUCAGAAAUCAGAGAGAAAUGUUAUCCUGCAUCUCAUUUGCCAUUUGAGAAAAUACAGGCCACAUGGGAUCUGAGCGGUGUCUGCAACCUACACCACGACUCAUGGCACUUAACUACUCCUUAACCCACUGAGGCAGGCCAGGGAUCAAACCCGAAUCCUCCUGGCUACUAGUUGGGUUCGUUACCACUGAGCCACAACGGAACUCCAGUAUUUGGAUAUUCUUUAGGUAAGAAUGACUAGUAAAUGAUGGUAGUGAAAUUAAGUGAGGCCAUUAUUCAUUCUGUUGAUCUCAUCAUUAAGCAUUUAUUGAACCCCUACUACAGUUGAAGAGGCGGCAUGCCUUUUGCCAGGCCAGUAACAAAAAAUGGGCCCUUAAGGAGCAUAAUAUCUACUUAACUAGUAUCUACUGAACUUCUUAGUUUUUCUAAUGGCAUCACUUUUUAACUAUGAAUGUGAUGCAUCAUUAUUUUUUUAAAUUAGAGAUUAAAUAAAUAGAAAAUAAAAUUACUUCUAAUUGUCCUG
Molecule: long non-coding RNA, 644 nt
Filed under: Sus scrofa (pig)
Lineage: Eukaryota; Metazoa; Chordata; Mammalia; Artiodactyla; Suidae
Description: lncRNA (ENSSSCG00070001006.1)
Source: RNAcentral